Molecule: small nuclear RNA, 27 nt
Filed under: Arabidopsis thaliana (thale cress)
Lineage: Eukaryota; Viridiplantae; Streptophyta; Magnoliopsida; Brassicales; Brassicaceae
Description: snRNA_01060
Source: RNAcentral
ACAGUUCGGGUUGAAACUGGAGUUGAG